Pelobates cultripes (western spadefoot toad) is the source of this 856-nucleotide non-coding RNA. Lineage: Eukaryota; Metazoa; Chordata; Amphibia; Anura; Pelobatidae. The record is from the annotation of a GenBank genome assembly.
AUUGCUUUAAUUACAUUUGGCCCUCAUUCGGCCUCACUGUUGGUACAUUUUAGGUAUGCAUUUGGCCCACGUUCGGCCACAUGGCAUAUUUACUUUGAACAUUUCACAUAACUAUCAUAAACAUGAUCAAACCUUCAUACAUACAGUUGUAAUCUCUAAGGCAGGGUUUCCCAAACUUUAUGGGACGAGACCCACCUUUCAAAAUGGUAAUUUUUUUAGACCAACUUGCUUUUAAUGCAUAUUUUAAAAAGUGAAUACCAUGGCAAUCAGCUUUAGAGGUAUAAAAUUGGCACAUCAUGGCAAACAGCUUUAGAGGCAUACAAUUGGCACACCAUGGCAAUCCGCUUUAGAUGCAUACAACUGGCACACCAUUAAACUGGUUCAUGGAUUGCGGGAUAAAACUUACCAGGAAAGGUUAAAGGAUCUUAACAUUUAUAGCUUGGAGGAAAGACGAGACAGGGGGGAUAUGAUAGAAACAUUUAAAUAUAUAAAGGGAAUCAACACAGUAAAGGAGGAGACUAUAUUUAAAAGAAGAAAAACAACCACAACAAAGGUUUAAAAAUAAUAUCAGGAAGUAUUACUUUACUGAGAGGGUAGUGGAUGCACGGAAUAGCCUUCCAGAUGAAGUGGUAGAGGUUAACACAGUAAAGGAGUUUAAGCAUGCGUGGGAUAGGCAUAAGGCUAUCCGAACUAUAAGAUAAGGCUAGGGACUAAUGAAAGUAUUUAGAAAAUUGGGCAGACUAGAUGGGCCGAAUGGUUCUUAUCUGCUGUCACAUUCUAUGUUUCUAUGGCAAUCCGCUUUAGAUGCAUAGAAUUGGCACACCACGGCAAUCAGUUUUAGAGGCAUACAAUUGGC